This 253-nucleotide ribosomal RNA is filed under the name uncultured bacterium. Its description in RNAcentral is "partial 16S ribosomal RNA". It matches the Rfam family "Bacterial small subunit ribosomal RNA", at positions 524 to 776 of the family's 1533-position model. The record is from RNAcentral.
UACGUAGGGGGCAAGCGUUAUCCGGAUUUACUGGGUGUAAAGGGAGCGUAGACGGCAUAGCAAGUCUGAAGUGAGAGCCCGUGGCUCAACCGCGGAACUGCUUUGGAAACUGUUAAGCUGGAGUACUGGAGAGGCAAGCGGAAUUCCUAGUGUAGCGGUGAAAUGCGUAGAUAUUAGGAGGAACACCAGUGGCGAAGGCGGCUUGCUGGACAGAGACUGACGUUGAGGCUCGAAAGCGUGGGGAGCAAACAGG